GUCUACAGCCAUACCACCCUGAAUGUGCCCAAUCUCAUCUGAUCUCAGAAGCUAAGCAGGGUGAGGCCUGGUUAGUACUUGGAUGGGAGAAAGGCUACCUUACACAUUUCCUCACAGGAAAAAUCUCUGGAGUUAUACC
Molecule: ribosomal RNA, 139 nt
Filed under: Fukomys damarensis (Damara mole-rat)
Lineage: Eukaryota; Metazoa; Chordata; Mammalia; Rodentia; Bathyergidae
Source: RNAcentral